AGGUUUCCCUUAGUAACUGCGAGUGAAGCGGGAAAAGCUCAAAUUUAAAAUUCUGGCAGUCUUUGACCGUCCGAGUUUGUAAUUUAGAGAAGCAAUGCCGGCGCUGGACUGUGUACAAGUCUCCUGGAAUGGAGCGUCAUAGAGGGUGAGAAUCCCGUAUAUGACACAGUUGCCAGGGCACAGUGGCAUGCUCUCAAAGAGUCGAGUUGUUUGGGAAUGCAGCUCAAAAUGGGUGGUAAAUUCCAUCUAAAGCUAAAUACAGGCGAGAGACCGAUAGCGAACAAGUACCGUGAGGGAAAGAUGAAAAGAACUUUGGAAAGAGAGUUAAACAGUACGUGAAAUUGUUGAAAGGGAAACGCUUGAAGUCAGUCUUGUUGCUGGAAAUCACACUUGCUUCUGCUUGUGGCUCUUUCCUUUGCAAUGGGUCAGCAUCAGUUUUGGUUGUUGGAUAAGAGUCAGAGGAAUGUGGCAUCCUUGGAUGUGUUAUAGCCUCUGACUGCAUGCAAUGACAGAGACUGAGGAACUCGGCACUUGCUGCCUAGGAUGCUGGCAUAAUGGCUUUAAUCGACCCGUCUUGAAACACGGACCAAGGAGUCUAACAUGCCUGCGAGUGUUUGGGGUGGAAAACCCUUGCGCGCAAUGAAAGUGAAGGUUGAGACCCUUGUCAUGAGGGGCAUCGACGCCCGGACCAGAUCUUCUGUGACGGUUCUGCGGUAGAGCAUGUAUGUUGGGACCCGAAAGAUGGUGAACUAUGCCUGAAUAGGGUGAAGCCAGAGGAAACUCUGGUGGAAGCUCGUAACGGAUUCUGACGUGCAAAUCGAUCGUCGAAUUUGGGUAUAGGGGGCGAAAGACUAAUCGAACCAUCUAGAGCUGGGUCCUGC
This 881-nucleotide ribosomal RNA is filed under the name Tricholomopsis sp. RNAcentral describes it as "partial large subunit ribosomal RNA". It matches the Rfam family "Eukaryotic large subunit ribosomal RNA", at positions 71 to 961 of the family's 3401-position model. The record is from RNAcentral. Lineage: Eukaryota; Fungi; Basidiomycota; Agaricomycetes; Agaricales.